GCACAGGCGCUUAGUCGUUAGUGACUAUAGCAAUACCUUUCCCCUCAUUUCUUAAAACGACCUCCACUCUUGCCUUUCUAGCACUGGGUUUGUUAAAUGUGUAACAACAAUAAACUCAAGCUGCUGCCUUUAUUUUUUUUCUUCAGAAUGCUGGGCUGGAACCCAAGCUUUCACCAUGCUAGUUCUGAGUAGCCCGAGAAGAGGUGCAAAAGCGCAACAGUAAGAGCACCUUUGGCAAUUUGUCAAGACUUUACAUUUAGACCGAAGUAAGGCAACACCUCCAAGGUAACAGUAACUGACACCAUUCAAAUUCGCAAGAAAAAGAAUGAACAAAACUCAUUAGGGAUUGACGCUGCGUUUCCCACCGAUGCUACUGCUGGUCUUUGAGUUUUUAUUUUAGGGGAGCAUGAACAUAUUUCACCACUACCACAGAUUAUGCAGUCAAGUUUGCCACAUUUGAGAAAAUCACAGGAGACAGCGCACCCAGGGUGCAACAGUGUUCCCUGAGCCUUAGGUAUGGGAGUUGUUGUGUUGUGAAUGCGUCAGUUAUGGAUGGAAAACCCACAAUCAGCUGUUCUCUGCAUUUGGACCAGAUGUGGUUUUCUCUAGUGGUCUCUGCUUCAGUGGGAACCUUGGAUGAAAGGACUGCUAUGAUACACAGAAAUGCCUCCCGAUGAAAAUAUAAUACAUAAAGAAAAAUAAAUAAGGCCAGAAGGAUGGCUUAGCAGAUAAAGGCCGCAUAAACCUGAUGACCUGGAAGACGAAAACUAACUCUGCAAAGUUGUCCUCUGACCUCCACAUGGAUCUCCACAUGUAUGUAGUGGCACACAAAUA
Molecule: long non-coding RNA, 834 nt
Organism: Alexandromys fortis (reed vole)
Lineage: Eukaryota; Metazoa; Chordata; Mammalia; Rodentia; Cricetidae
Exons: 5
Source: RefSeq, a predicted model, not a curated record